Molecule: long non-coding RNA, 530 nt
Organism: Pomacea canaliculata
Lineage: Eukaryota; Metazoa; Mollusca; Gastropoda; Architaenioglossa; Ampullariidae
Exons: 2
Source: RefSeq, a predicted model, not a curated record
ACACAUCUUAUCACUCAUUGUCACUUCUUGGUGACAGCUGCUUGACGAAAGGUUGACAGUUUAAAGGUCACGAUGCAACUGAAGACUGUUCUUGCCCUGCUGUUGGUCUUCACGCUGGCCACCCGCCAGGACACCCGAGCGAUGACGGUUGGGAGGAGACAACUUUAUGGCCCUCGUGACUAUGAACUCUACCAAAUCAUGGAUGCGCACAAGAAGAUGAUGCCCGACGAAAUAGCAAAAAUCAAAUGUGUGAUCGCGCACCAAUGUUGCCCUGAAUAUUGGGAGAAAUCUUGCCAGUCUAUAAACGUGAGCUAUAUAGAUAUAUAUAUAGACUGCUUGGGCGGCUGGAUGUGUGCCAUUCUCUCGCACGGAUGACUGGUGUUGUCAUCACACGACAUCUCAUCUUGCUUUGACCUUUAAAUGUUGCUGCUUGAUGGACUCCACAACUUGUAGUAACGGAUAUUCACUGUUUAGAGUGACGAAUAUUUUUGGGUCAUAAAUAAAGACUUAUAAAAACGAUAUUAAAGAUA